This 465-nucleotide ribosomal RNA is filed under the name uncultured bacterium. Its description in RNAcentral is "bacterial SSU rRNA". It matches the Rfam family "Bacterial small subunit ribosomal RNA", at positions 338 to 795 of the family's 1533-position model. The record is from RNAcentral.
CCUACGGGGUGCACCAGUGGGGAAUAUUGCACAAUGGGCGCAAGCCUGAUGCAGCCAUGCCGCGUGUAUGAAGAAGGCCUUAGGGUUGUAAAGUACUUCCAGUUGGGGGGAAGGCGUUGAUGCUAAUAUCAUCAACGGUUGACGUUACCAACAGAAGAAGCACCGGCUAACUCCGUGCCAGCAGCCGCGGUAAUACGGAGGGUGCAAGCGUUAAUCGGAAUUACUGGGCGUAAAGCGCACGCAGGCGGUUGAUUAAGUUAGAUGUGAAAUCCCCGGGCUUAACCUGGGAAUGGCAUCUAAGACUGGUCAGCUAGAGUCUUGUAGAGGGGGGUAGAAUUCCAUGUGUAGCGGUGGAAUGCGUAGAGAUGUGGAGGAAUACCGGUGGCGAAGGCGGCCCCCUGGACAAAGACCGACGCUCAGGUGCGAAAGCGUGGGGAGCAAACAGGAUUAGAUACCCUUGUAGUC